This 74-nucleotide non-coding RNA is filed under the name Aureoumbra lagunensis. The record is from RNAcentral. Lineage: Eukaryota; Pelagophyceae; Sarcinochrysidales; Sarcinochrysidaceae.
UGUGGCUCUUGCUCGUUCAGCAAUGCUCCAAGGUCGACCCGCUGACGCGAUUUCUCUUUGUGAAUCAGGCUUGA